RNAcentral lists this ribosomal RNA (494 nucleotides) under uncultured bacterium. RNAcentral's name for it is "bacterial SSU rRNA". It matches the Rfam family "Bacterial small subunit ribosomal RNA", at positions 903 to 1397 of the family's 1533-position model. The record is from RNAcentral.
AAAGGAAUAGACGGGGACCCGCACAAGCAGUGGAGCAUGCCCUUUAAUUCGAAGCAACGCGAAAAACCUUACCAAGACUUGACAUCCUCUGAAUAUCCGAGAAAUCGGCGUAGUUUAGCAAUAAACAGAGUGACAGAUGAUGCAUGGUUGUCGUCAGCUCGUGUCGUGAGAUGUUCGGUUAAGUCCGUUAACGAGCGCAACCCUUACCUUCAGUUGCCAAUAUUAAGUUAGGAACUCUGGAGGGACUGCCAUGGAUAACAUGGAGGAAGGUGGGGAUGACGUCAAAUCAUCAUGUCUCUUACGUCUUGGGCUAGAGGCGUGCUACAAUGGCCAUUACAAAGAGAAGCAAUAUCGCGAGAUGGAGCAAAUCCCAAAAAAGUGGUCUCAGUUCGGAUUGUAGGCUGCAACCCGCCUACAUGAAGCCGGAAUUGCUAGUAAUCCCAAAUCAGCAUGUUGGGGUGAAUACGUUCCCGGGUCUUGUACACACCGCCCGU